CUUCCUCUUUAAUUGAAACCCAAAAUUAAAAUGCUUCCAAGGCGGUGAAUUACUUUCUCCAAUUAAAAAUAAAAGCUAUCCAUGUACAUUAUUGAAUUAAAAACUAAAGACAACAUUGUUUCAUGAGUGCAGCGUUUGUAAAUGAAAUAAAAUUUGAAAUACCAUUCAUCCACAAUCCAACAGAGCAAACAUGGUUCCGAUAAAAGCUAUAUAAAAAAAAAUUCAAAGCAAAGUCUCCAAAGUGGCGGCUCUACCUUGGGAUUGAAAAACCAAAAAGAAAACCUACAUUCUACUCACUGUUUUAUUCAUUCACCGUGGCUGGGAACUUUUCCAUUUUUCAUCCAAAAUCCAUCGAGGUCAGCAUUUUCAAAGAAAAAUAAUCUCUCUCCAAAAUGUUCCAGCCAGCCAAAAAUUUGAUGGGUGUCGCGGCCCAUACAAAUUUGAUUGCAUAUGAGAAAUGCAGUAUAGCUAGGAAGUGACUCCUAGGUCGUCUCUCAAGGACCAAACUGAGGUUCGAGAAUCAGGUCAAACACAAAGUGGGGGGGUUGUGAAAGGUUUGUGACUGCAGAUGAAUUAAAUUAAAACGCGGAUGCAAACACAAAAGCAAACACAGAUGUAAAAAUGAAAUCAAAUACAGAAUAGAAACGGUUGGUCAUUAACUCAAUAACUAUGCUUCCAAUCACAGAUCGUCGACAAGUACACACUACUCUAAUCCAAAUCCGAAACGAAUCACCCAACUAAGCGAAGGAUAGUUCGGUCUUCAAAAUUACAGACUAAGCGAAUGCAA
Molecule: long non-coding RNA, 787 nt
Filed under: Vigna radiata
Lineage: Eukaryota; Viridiplantae; Streptophyta; Magnoliopsida; Fabales; Fabaceae
Description: long non-coding RNA (VRAD_LNC005182)
Source: RNAcentral